GUAAAAGAAGCAUGAAGGUAGAGGUCAAAGACAAAAGAGAGCAAUCUGAAAAAUAGUUCAACUGAAAAGCUCUAGGAAAAGAAUACAGACAACUAUGGAAUACAAGAAAGAAUCAGAUAGCAGAAAACAACUCCGAGACCAUGUGGAUUCCAGCAACAGAGAGGAAUCGACAGGACUACUCCAGCCAUGAAGACAGAAGAGAAGCAGUCCAGAGAUGGAAGACGCCGACGUCACCUUGCCAUACUAGCAGUUAGCAGCUGUGCGUCACUGCAGGUUGCCCAGGACCAAACCAGAGAGAGUCGGACCUGCAUUACCACCAUUUGUCCACC
Molecule: long non-coding RNA, 329 nt
Organism: Eptesicus fuscus (big brown bat)
Lineage: Eukaryota; Metazoa; Chordata; Mammalia; Chiroptera; Vespertilionidae
Exons: 3
Source: RefSeq, a predicted model, not a curated record